This 877-nucleotide long non-coding RNA is filed under the name Oryctolagus cuniculus (rabbit). Its description in RNAcentral is "lncRNA (ENSOCUG00000032193.1)". Lineage: Eukaryota; Metazoa; Chordata; Mammalia; Lagomorpha; Leporidae. The record is from RNAcentral.
UCUUGAUUUUGUGGGAUUUUUUAAAAUUUUCUCAUCAAUGGAUGCCCUUUGGGUAUUUUUGAGAUUAAUAAUGCUAAUAAUAUGCCCUAAGUAGUUAACAGAAUCUUGUUACUUACAGUAGCUAUAUUUGAAAUGUGAAUUUCUGAAUAGAAUUUUAUAUGAAAUAAGUAAUACUGGAGUUGUUAACCUGUCGUGUCUGAAGUAAUGAGUAAAACUAACCAUAAGCAUAGGUAUCAUUGAAAUGAAAUAAAUAGGAUCUAAAAAUUCAGUUGUGAGAUAAAGAGGUUAUCUUGGGAUACGGAAUCUGUGGAAUAUGGAGCCCUGACUCAUUCUCCAAACAAUACGGAAUUUUGUCUACUAGCAUAACACUUGAGAACAAGAGCUGGGCUAAGCAUAGGAAGCAAUCACUAGUUAAUUCAUAUUUAAAUAAAUUUUUUGAAGUAUGUUUGAACAAUGAGCCAAAAUUUGAGAAAUAUUAGCCACUUUUCUUCAUGAAUAUGGGAUUCUACAGAUCAUCUUAAUUUCAGGCAGAUCAUUUAUACAACAGUGAAGACAUUAACCUACUUUACUGGCUGGUUGUGAAGAACAGCUGAUAUUCUUGACUGACAAACACUCACUGAUAAAAAUUGCUAAGGAAAUCCUUGAUAAUUUACAGAUUGUAGACCCAACCCUACACUCAGUGUUGUCCUGUACUGAAUGAUUAAAUUGGGUUCAGUCUAAAUUUCAAAUAUAUAUACACACAUACAUAUUAUAUAGUUUGCAUAUAUAUAUAUUUAUAUAUACCUUUGAAAUCACUAGAAAUUUGACUUGAUACAUGAUUCUUAAAUUGUGAAUAAGUAAUCUGGGACUAAUAAAUGCAGGCUUUGUAGAUAGGUCA